Molecule: ribosomal RNA, 506 nt
Filed under: uncultured bacterium
Lineage: Bacteria
Description: partial 16S ribosomal RNA
Rfam family: Bacterial small subunit ribosomal RNA
Source: RNAcentral
AGUGAACGCUGGCGGUAGGCCUAACACAUGCAAGUCGAACGGCAGCACAGGAGAGCUUGCUCUCUGGGUGGCGAGUGGCGGACGGGUGAGGAAUACAUCGGAAUCUACUCUGUCGUGGGGGGUAACGUAGGGAAACUUACGCUAAUACCGCAUACGACCUACGGGUGAAAGCAGGGGAUCUUCGGACCUUGCGCGAUUGAAUGAGCCGAUGUCGGAUUAGCUAGUUGGCGGGGUAAAGGCCCACCAAGGCGACGAUCCGUAGCUGGUCUGAGAGGAUGAUCAGCCACACUGGAACUGAGACACGGUCCAGACUCCUACGGGAGGCAGCAGUGGGGAAUAUUGGACAAUGGGCGCAAGCCUGAUCCAGCCAUACCGCGUGGGUGAAGAAGGCCGUCGGGUUGUAAAGCCCUUUUGUUGGGAAAGAAAUCCAGCUGGCUAAUACCCGGUUGGGAUGACGGUACCCAAAGAAUAAGCACCGGCUAACUUCGUGCCAGCCGCCGCCGUAA